This 88-nucleotide transfer RNA is filed under the name Parasutterella secunda. RNAcentral describes it as "tRNA-Ser". It matches the Rfam family "tRNA". From Rfam's summary of the family: Transfer RNA (tRNA) molecules are approximately 80 nucleotides in length. Their secondary structure includes four short double-helical elements and three loops (D, anti-codon, and T loops). The record is from RNAcentral. Lineage: Bacteria; Pseudomonadati; Pseudomonadota; Betaproteobacteria; Burkholderiales; Sutterellaceae. RNAcentral also lists the same sequence under 6 other names.
GGAAGGGUGGCAGAGUGGUUGAAUGCAGCAGUCUUGAAAACUGCCGACGCGCAAGCGUUCGUGGGUUCGAAUCCCACCCCUUCCGCCA